GGUGAGUAACGCGUAAGGAACUUGCCUCUUGGACUGGGACAACUGUUGGAAACGACAGCUAAUACCGGAUAUUAUGAGAUUCUCGCAUGAGAAACUUAUGAAAGCUAUAUGCGCCAAGAGAGAGCCUUGCGUUCCAUUAGCUAGUUGGUGGGGUAACGGCCCACCAAGGCGACGAUGGAUAGCCGGCCUGAGAGGGUGAACGGCCACAAGGGGACUGAGACACGGCCCUUACUCCUACGGGAGGCAGCAGUGGGGAAUAUUGGACAAUGGGCCACAAGCCUGAUCCAGCAAUUCUGUGUGCACGAUGAAGGUCUUCGGAUUGUAAAGUGCUUUCAGUUGGGAAGAAGAAAGUGACGGUACCAACAGAAGAAGCGACGGCUAAAUACGUGCCAGCAGCCGCGGUAAUACGUAUGUCGCAAGCGUUAUCCGGAUUUAUUGGGCGUAAAGCGCGUCUAGGCGGAAAAAUAAGUCUGAUGUUAAAAUGCGGGGCUCAACUCCGUAUUGCGUUGGAAACUGUUUUUCUAGAGUACUGGAGAGGUGGGCGGAACUACAAGUGUAGAGGUGAAAUUCGUAGAUAUUUGUAGGAAUGCCGAUGGAGAAGUCAGCUCACUGGACAGAUACUGACGCUGAAGCGCGAAAGCGUG
RNAcentral lists this ribosomal RNA (644 nucleotides) under uncultured bacterium. RNAcentral describes it as "bacterial SSU rRNA". It matches the Rfam family "Bacterial small subunit ribosomal RNA", at positions 105 to 763 of the family's 1533-position model. The record is from RNAcentral.